This 230-nucleotide ribosomal RNA is filed under the name Staphylococcus massiliensis CCUG 55927. RNAcentral's name for it is "partial 16S ribosomal RNA". It matches the Rfam family "Bacterial small subunit ribosomal RNA", at positions 1 to 220 of the family's 1533-position model. The record is from RNAcentral. Lineage: Bacteria; Bacillati; Bacillota; Bacilli; Caryophanales; Staphylococcaceae.
UUUAUGGAGAGUUUGAUCCUGGCUCAGGAUGAACGCUGGCGGCGUGCCUAAUACAUGCAAGUCGAGCGAACUGACGAGGAGCUUGCUCCUUUGACGUUAGCGGCGGACGGGUGAGUAACACGUGGGUAACCUACCUAUAAGACUGGAAUAACUCCGGGAAACCGGGGCUAAUGCCGGAUAACAUGUUGAACCGCAUGGUUCAACAUUGAAAGGCGGUUUUGCUGUCACUU